GCGAGUAUGGCCCUCACGGGUCUAAUCCACCAUAAACACCUUUGUGAACCAGUCAGGGGGACUCGGCCGUGAAAGCCCAGGCGAUUAGCGGAAGGGCCCUCCUUUGCAACCCGUUUAGAAGUCUUGAAAGUACUUUUGUAUAAUCUAGUA
RNAcentral lists this unclassified non-coding RNA (150 nucleotides) under soil metagenome. RNAcentral describes it as "partial internal transcribed spacer 1". The record is from RNAcentral.